Non-coding RNA from Caenorhabditis elegans, 113 nucleotides. NCBI's taxonomy places the organism in Eukaryota, Metazoa, Nematoda, Chromadorea, Rhabditida, Rhabditidae. The record is from Ensembl.
UUGCAACAUAAAUACUUUUGCUUUAUUGUCAUUUUAUUCUCAUUGUUAGAUAUUCUGGAGCAGGCGUAAGUCUUUUAAAACUCAUUUUUUUGCCUCUCGGAAGUAAAUAUUUC